Long non-coding RNA from Pseudopipra pipra, 3289 nucleotides. RefSeq lists it as uncharacterized. NCBI's taxonomy places the organism in Eukaryota, Metazoa, Chordata, Aves, Passeriformes, Pipridae. The record is from RefSeq and is a predicted model, not a curated record. The transcript is spliced from 2 exons.
GGGGGAACAGGAUGGAGGGGGGCGGCGGAGUGGGGGCAAAAUGCUUCCCAGAUCUCCACACUCCGGAGGACUUCAGUGUCCAGUCCAGCCCGUGCCAAGAUUGUGCUCCGAUUCAAUUCACCGCUUUAUUUCUUCUCUGAAGCACAUGGGAGCCACUGCAUCUCCUCUCACUCCCCUGAGGGAUCUGGGGUUUUUUUUUAGCGUUUUUUAAAGUAGGUUCUUCAUUAAUCUGUUUGUCUUAAGCUGCUUAAAAAUACUCAUUGGGUGUAUCAGGAGCCAAGGGCUUAAAAAAAAAAAAGUGCAGGAUUUGUGAAGGAUUGACUUGAAUUUCUCGACUGUCUGGAACUGGCAUUACAGCUCAACAUCCUAUAAAAGGAUGAUGUUCCUGCUUUCUUUGUGUACUCACCAGCCCAAUUUUAUGUUCAUGAAGCAAAGUCAGGUGGUUUUUUUCCAUUUUGUGAUUUUACUGCCUUCUGCUGGUCAGAAAUGACCAGGCUGAGUUUAAUUUUUUAUAAUCAGCACAUGAUCUAAAAUUUAGCUUCAGUGCAAAUACCAACAGUAGAUGUUUUGUGUAUUUCCCAGUGCUUUUUUCGGCAAUCUCAUGGAUAUAUUUCACAUAGCAGGGUCAGUCAGUGAAGACAAUCGUAGGUAUUAAUAUGCAAAUCAGACAACAUCAUGUUCCAAAGGUUCUGCCUGUUGGCUUGAAGUGGGGAUGUAGCAGAUCACCUUUCUAAUCCUUCCCUGCCUUUCAACUCACUGCUUGCCCUUUGCUUCCAAGCAAAGAUAAAGAUUUAAAAAUAAACCCCAAGUUGCUGUUUGUUGUAAACAAACUGUGGUCCCACGAUAGUGGGUGAUCUAUCAGUGCAGAAGGAAAUGGGCCUCCUGCAACCAGAAUUUCAUGAUCUUUUUCAGGAAUAAUAGUUGUUUAAAGUUUUAUCUUUGCUUUUAUUCUCGAAGACAAAGAUAAAUGUGCUUGUCUCUCUGUGUAUGGGCUUGAAUGUGGAGAGCUGAGUAGAUAACGUGGCUUGGAUCUGGCUAAAUGUUGAACAAAGAAUUACCCAGUUCAUCAAAGGAAGUGGCUGUUCCCUUGCCUGAAAUCAGUUGCCUGCACCUUCCUGCUCUGAAAUGGAAUAACUAUGCCCUGAUGCCCUGAGUUGACACAACGUGCCAUCUGGAUAUACACUGGAAAUCCCUCAGGCAGGCAGGUUAUGAGAAGGAAGAUAUUUAUUUUCUGCUUUUUUUUUUCAUGCUAAACAAAACUUUGGUUGCCAGAUAAUCACUCAGAUUACACAAAUAAUUGUGUGUAAAGAGUGAGUUUCCUUCACAUUCACUAAUUCCUAAUUCUGUGGGAAAGAUUUGCAAGGGGAGUGGGACAAAACUUCUUCAUUCAACAAACUUUAACAAAUGUCACAGAGUUCACACUUUCAACAUUUUAAUGGCAUGAAGGCCAUGCCAACCAUCCUUGAGCUUCAGUUGUGCUAAAUGAAUGUAGGAUAGGAAGGAAAUAUUUAAAAUCCAUGUUCAUGGGAAAUACAAUUUAUUUUUGCUUUUUUUAAUAGGUAGACACCAAAUGGCAAUGGCAAGACUUAAAAUUAGAGGAGAUACUCUCUGAUUUAUGGAGAUACACAACAUUAUCCACCAAAUACUGCAGAGUGGUAAGAGAACACUGGGCAGUGGGGAAUGAAGCUCCUACUCCUGUAUCUCCCACUGUCCUACUUGAUCUGGGAAUUCAUCUGAGCACCAUCAAUAAUCUACGAUAUAUUUAGAAAACCUCAUUAAACAUUUGGCCAAAUGUGCUUUCUCAAACACCCGUUUGGCUGCUGUCUGAGCAGAGCAGACCCUGGGUCACAGAGCCUGAGAGAAGGGAAUUUUUCCUCAUUUAUUUUUAGUUUCAUUUCCUAGGGAAGUAAGCCAUCUGUGAUCUGUUUCCCUCUGGAAAGUUUUGAAGCUGCUCUGAAGUUUAAGUUUGCAGAGCCUCAGAGAUACUAAAUACCUCCAGUUUUUGUGGAAGUAAAAAGAGACCCUGGAACAGGAUAAGAGAAAAACAUGGGAAUCCGGGCUGUGUGAACUUGUGCCCCAUCCUUUCAAGCAGCAAUGAGAGUGGAAGGGGCAGUGUGAGCCUGGAUUGCUGCUCAGGUGGUUGUCUUCCCCCAAAGUAGCCAGCACACUUCUGCUUGUACCACUUAAUCCACCCACAACCAGAUUUCUUUAUCCCAGGAUUAGGCAGGGAAGAGGAGGCGUCAGCAGGAUACUUGUAAGAGUCUGUGCCCAGGCUGCCCUUAAUGUAAGAUCUUGGUUGUAUUUCCUCUUGGAGGAGGAAAUAAAGAGCUCAUUAGUGGCAUUUACAGAGUGUUAAACUGGGAGAGAUCAAAAGCUGUGCUGGAGUAGAAACAUAAAGUGCCUGAAAAUGAUAAACAUGAGCAGAAAUUGAUGGAAGCUCAGUUGGGAAGACUGUGAGUCCUCCUCUGAGGAGACUGAACUUCAUGCACCCAUCUACUAAAAUGAAGAACUCUGAAGGUAAAUAAUUUCAGAAGACAAAGAAUAAAGGCAAAAGGGAAGCUGACACCAAAUACCACUAUCUGAAGAAGGCUAUAGAAAGGUUAGGACAGUGCUGUGGAUCUAUGAAGGAAAUAAUAUAAAUGUGAGGGAUAUAGCAAAGGCUGCAGGCAUUUGGAGAGUCCUCACUCCUCCUUUCCUCUCCUGGUUUCUCAUUCAUCCAACAGAAUUUGGGCACUGGGCAGACAAGGCUACUCCUUUUCUGAGAACAGCAACAUCCUCUCUCUUGCCAUACAUGUCUAGAGAAGAUCCCUCUGCUUGUGCAGUUCACAUUACACGUGUAGUUCCUUGUCCUUAAACACAUUAUUUGGCAAAAGAAGCAGAGAUUUGGCCCUUCGUGAGUGUGACUCGUUCCCCGUAGCUGCCAGGAGGUGGCUCUCUGCAUUUGCAGUCCCUGUUUACUAUUUUGUUUAUGGAAUUAUGUUGGACACGUUUUCCGUGGAAAAUGUUUUCAGUGUGUUUGCCUUGAGGAAGUUUACGUAAGGAGAACAGGGAAGCCAUGGGCUCAGUAAAUAGUUUGCUAAAAAACAAGGCACAGAGCGGUUCACUUUUGUCAGAAUGUUUUAUGGCUACAAUCCAAAGGGAUUUUUCUUGUGCAGGACCUAAUCUUUUCAUUGUAAGAUUACGUAUAUCAGGCUCAAGGAGUUACAUCUCUGUUUGCGGGAUGCAUUUACCAGAUUUGAUUAUAGCUGAGUAAAAGUCAUUCUCAAUAAAAAAAAGCAUUUUAGUCACA